AUGACUGAAUCUCCCAGAAAGGCGAUUAUGCAGCCUCCGCUUAUCACUGCUUUCUUGCCUAGAUGUCUGAUGACUUCAGCCAAGGACACCACAGAGAGGAAGGCUCAAUUUCGAAGAGUCUUGAUGAGGGUCACGGCAGGAAGAAUGGAUUGGGAAAUGAGACAGAAUGCAGAAAGUGAAAUGAAAGGAGGAGUGAGGAUAAAGUGUGCUAACCCUGACAGAGAAGCACCAUGGACACAAGAGCAAGAGUCAUGGUGCAUGGAUGUAAUGGAAAAUCAUCUGCAAGAAGCAAUGGACAUAAUGAAUUCAGAAAAGCAUCUACAGAUACAAAGUGAAGUGAUUGGAGACUCUGACCUUGUGAGUUCUCCAUUUUACAGAUGAGGAAACUGAGGUACAGAGAACUGCAGUGGCUUUUCUGAGGUCAUGUAACUAGAGUCAGAGAAGAUAUUUGAACUUGCCACUCAUUACCAGAAUGAUUGUAGCAACCUCCUGCUAUGUCUUCCUGCCUCCAGGUCCAGGGCUCUAUCUACUGUGUCAUCUAGCUGCCUCUAACCUCAUCAGUGGUGUAGGAGUCCAAUAAGGUAAGGCAGGUAAAGCUUUUGACUAAUCUUAUGAUGAGUGGGUUUCCUCCUAGUGGAAUGGAUGCCCCUUGAGGGCAAGGACUACUUUUCAUCUUUUGCCUUCACACCUGAGAAGACAAUGGCCUUGGCCAAUUGGCCAUUGGCCUUAAAGGUGGUAAACCCUUGAUGGGGCUCUUCCAAUCACCUCUAAUUCCCUGAGCUUUCUCUUUAUCACAUCUUAGUAUGAUUAUUUGUAAUAAUCAUAUUUUAUUUCUAUAUUUAUAAAUUUUAUAAAUUUAUGUACAAAAAUGCAAAUUGUCUCUGCUCUAGAAUUGUCCCCUCCUUACUCAUAACCCAUCCUGCCCCUUUCCUGUAAGCUCCUCCCCAUCCAAUUUGGCUAGAAACUUUUAUGCUCCACGAAACUUUGUUAAAUGGGGCAGGGCACAUGGGAAAGCCUAAGUGAGACCUGCUCCUCCCUGUAGAACCACUGGUGCUCCUGGGCCUCCCUGUGUGGGACCACCCAGGAAGUACAGAGAGUCUAAGGGGGUUAGCAGGUCUCACCCUGGACCAUCCACUUCCUUUCUCUUUCUGCCAUGGACUAAGGUCAUCUCACUCAUUACCUGAACUCCUAUGCUGGCUGGGUCCCAGGAGGAUCUUGGUCCUUCUAGACAUUCAAUCUUUUCUUUCAAUCUUUUCUUUCAAUCUCUCUGGAGAUUGUAGUCCAGACAUAUCCUUGCCCUCCAGCCCCACCCCCCAUGCCUGUGUUCUUCUCAAGCUCUGCCACAAGCUCUCUUUGGGGUGGGGGUGAAAAUUCACCGGCUAAAAUUCACUGGUCCUUCAGCCAGCAUUAUGCAUUUCAUUAUGCAUCUGCCAGGUGUCAGGCCCUGAGCUAAAUGCUGUGGCUACAAAGGGAGACAAAAGGCAGUCUCUGCUCUCAUGGAGAUCAGAGUUGAAGGAUGGAGACAACACACAAACAACUAUGGAUAAAUGAGACAGGAUAGAUUGGGUGUUGUCUUGGAGGGAAGACCCUAAGAAUAAAGACUGGGAAAGGCUCCCA
This is a long non-coding RNA of Monodelphis domestica (gray short-tailed opossum), 1617 nucleotides long. NCBI's taxonomy places the organism in Eukaryota, Metazoa, Chordata, Mammalia, Didelphimorphia, Didelphidae. The record is from Ensembl.